AGGAUGAACGCUAGCGGGAGGCCUAAUACAUGCAAGUCGAACGGUAAAUGGUAGCAAUACUAUGAGAGUGGCGUACGGGUGCGUAACGCGUACACAACCUGCCUUGAACUGGAGGAUAGCCUCGGGAAACUGAGAUUAAUACUCCAUAACUUUGCGAAAUGGCAUCAUUUUGCAAUUAAAGCUCCGGCGGUUCAAGAUGGGUGUGCGUCCGAUUAGGUAGUUGGUGAGGUAACGGCUCACCAAGCCGACGAUCGGUAGCUGGUCUGAGAGGACGAUCAGCCACACGGGCACUGAGACACGGGCCCGACUCCUACGGGAGGCAGCAGUAGGGAAUAUUGGACAAUGGACGCAAGUCUGAUCCAGCCAUCCCGCGUGAAGGAUUAAGGCCCUCUGGGUUGUAAACUUCUUUUCUUUGGGAAUAAAAGCGGUAUUCAUAUCGCCUUGAAGGUACCAGGGAAUAAGCACCGGCUAACUCCGCGCCAGCACGCCGCGGU
This 494-nucleotide ribosomal RNA is filed under the name uncultured bacterium. RNAcentral describes it as "SSU rRNA". It matches the Rfam family "Bacterial small subunit ribosomal RNA", at positions 26 to 521 of the family's 1533-position model. The record is from RNAcentral.